RNAcentral lists this small RNA (201 nucleotides) under Trichoderma gamsii. Its description in RNAcentral is "A. fumigatus sRNA Afu_182". It matches the Rfam family "A. fumigatus sRNA Afu_182". The record is from Rfam by way of RNAcentral. Lineage: Eukaryota; Fungi; Ascomycota; Sordariomycetes; Hypocreales; Hypocreaceae.
CCAUGAACAACGCAAAUAUCACGUUCGGGUUCUUCCACACUUGAAAAAACGAGUACCUGGUACGAGGUUACGUCUUCGGGCGUGGGCUCACGACUGCCGGGGACCUGAGGAACGAAAACGGAGAAGAAAGCGAGCAAUCUUGGGUGCGGUGCUUUCCUGGCUCAGGCCACAUGGAGGGGACCGCAAUGAUUGAGCGUACAU